ACUGAAUUGAUAGGAGUGUUACAGUAAUCACCAUCUUUAGUUUUCCACUUGGGGUGACUUAUAUAUCAGCUCCCCAGGACAAAAAGGAUGGAGAAAAAAAUGUUUACAUGUAUUAGUGAUUUUUGCUUUACAAAAUUGUAUUGACUGGUUUGUGUUAAUCAUCUCACGAUCAAUACAUGCGAGAGGUAACUUCGAGAAAGGUGUCUUCGUUGCAGGGAAUUGUGAGACCGCUGGUAGGAUGACUAUAUCCAAACUCUUCUUCUGACUUCCCUAGCAAAUCUUGAAAUGAAGGAUGGUUCAAGAAUGAAACCGGUAUCACGAACCUCUUCUGGUUUUCUCCAACAUAAACUGCAAAGUAUCCCUUGGGAACCUUUUUAGAACUAACCAUACGAGGCAGGCGGAUAGCCAUUGUUGUUUUUGAUGGAUGUAUGCUUCAAAAGGGAAGAAAAGGAAGAUAUCAGAUAACUUGGAAAGCAAGCUUGAGAAUGUUGAAGGGAGAUGUUGCCAAUGAACUUACUCUUACUUGUCUAUAUAGAUGUGUAGGGCAGAGAGGAAAUGAUGUUCAUCUAUUAUUAAGUGGGGGAUGUGGAAUGAGUGGUGAAGGUGCAAUUUCUGGGGUCUGAUCAGUAAAGAGAAAGACAUGGGUUUACGGGGAAUCACAUGGUGUUGUCUUCCAAAGCAUUAUCAAGAAUUCAAUGGCUAAGACUUGAAAGAAAGUUUUCCUACCUUGCCAGGAAAAUGAACCGACUAAGGACCUACUCAGAUAUGGAAGAUUUGGAUUCAUAAAAGCUUCUUCCUAGUAGAAGAUUUUUAUUACUUCACCAUUGACAUUAGAUCCAACCUUUAGAGACAUACAAUCUGUCAUCCAAUGAUAGGGAACAAGUAACAUGGGUGACCUUGACCUCCUAUUUCGUACAGAUUUCACAAAAAAUUUGCAAGACAAUCCAUUGUGAAGAGCGCCUAAAGUGCGUCCUACAGGCUACAACAACUCCUCAUCUGAACCCAACUUGUUGCAUUUUAUCCAGGUUUGUUGUCUAUGCCGUGCUGCAAUCAUAUAGUUCCACAGGGGUGAAGACAAUAUUCAGCUUGACAGCUCACUAAAUUUCUGAUGUCAGGUCAAAGUCAGAAAGCUAUUCAAACUACAAGAAAUUUCAAUGAAGGCUUCUUCUGCACAUGGGACUGUGAGGCUACCCCUUGGAUGAUUCAAAGCCAAACUCCUCUUCAGUCUACUUAUCAGUUCUUGAAAUGAAGGGUGCUUUAAGAAUGAAACAUGAAUUAUAAACCAGCCUCUUUUGGGAUUCACUUACAUAAACAACAAGAUGGCCUUUGGUUAUUUAUGCAGCUGCUGUCACCUUUUGGAUAGUAAUAUGUUUAGUGUGAACAUAUUUGAUGUUACCUUUUGGAAAAAAAAUCUGCUAUUUGAUGUUACAUUCAGUCAUUUGUAUAUUUGUUUCCAUAUACAUGAUUGGAGUUUAGAGUA
Long non-coding RNA from Gossypium arboreum, 1480 nucleotides. RefSeq lists it as uncharacterized. The transcript has 2 exons. NCBI's taxonomy places the organism in Eukaryota, Viridiplantae, Streptophyta, Magnoliopsida, Malvales, Malvaceae. The record is from RefSeq and is a predicted model, not a curated record.